RNAcentral lists this ribosomal RNA (380 nucleotides) under uncultured cyanobacterium. Its description in RNAcentral is "bacterial SSU rRNA". It matches the Rfam family "Bacterial small subunit ribosomal RNA", at positions 376 to 770 of the family's 1533-position model. The record is from RNAcentral. Lineage: Bacteria; Bacillati; Cyanobacteriota.
CGAAAGCCUGACGGAGCAAUACCGCGUGAGGGAGGAAGGCUCUUGGGUCGUAAACCUCUUUUGUCAGGGAAGAACACAAUGACGGUACCUGACGAAUCAGCAUCGGCUAACUCCGUGCCAGCAGCCGCGGUAAUACGGAGGAGGCAAGCGUUAUCCGGAAUGAUUGGGCGUAAAGCGUUCGUAGGUGGCAAUUCAAGUCUGCUGUCAAAGACAGUAGCUCAACUACUGCAAGGCAGUGGAAACUGACAGGCUAGAGUGCAGGAGGGGUAGAGGGAAUUCCCGGUGUAGCGGUGAAAUGCGUAGAUAUCGGGAAGAACAUCGGUGGCGAAGGCGCUCUACUGGACUGCAACUGACACUCAGGGACGAAAGCUAGGGGAGCG